AUUGAACGCUGGCGGCAUGCCUUACACAUGCAAGUCGAACGGUAACAGGUCUUCGGAUGCUGACGAGUGGCGAACGGGUGAGUAAUACAUCGGAACGUGCCUAGUAGUGGGGGAUAACUACUCGAAAGAGUGGCUAAUACCGCAUGAGAUCUACGGAUGAAAGCAGGGGAUCGCAAGACCUUGUGCUACUAGAGCGGCCGAUGGCAGAUUAGGUAGUUGGUGGGAUAAAAGCUUACCAAGCCGACGAUCUGUAGCUGGUAUGAGAGGGCGAUCAGCCACACAGGGACUGAGAAACGGCACAGACGCCUACGGGAGGCAGCAGUGGGGAAUUUUGGACAAUGGGCGCAAGCCUGAUCCAGAAAUGCCGCGUGCAGGAUGAAGGCCUUCGGGUUGUAAACUGCUUUUGUACGGAACGAAAAGCCCCGGGUUAAUACCCUGGGGUCAUGACGGUACCGUAAGAAUAAGCACCGGCUAACUACGUGCCAGCCGCCGCAGUAA
Molecule: ribosomal RNA, 498 nt
Filed under: uncultured bacterium
Lineage: Bacteria
Description: partial 16S ribosomal RNA
Rfam family: Bacterial small subunit ribosomal RNA
Source: RNAcentral